UCAGGACGAACGCUGGCGGCGUGCUUAACACAUGCAAGUCGAACGAUGAAGCCGCUUCGGUGGUGGAUUAGUGGCGAACGGGUGAGUAACACGUGGGUAAUCUGCCCUGCACUCUGGGAUAAGCCUUGGAAACGAGGUCUAAUACCGGAUAUGACACACGGAGGCAUCUCCUGUGUGUGGAAAGUUCCGGCGGUGCAGGAUGAACCCGCGGCCUAUCAGCUUGUUGGUGGGGUAGUGGCCUACCAAGGCGACGACGGGUAGCCGGCCUGAGAGGGUGACCGGCCACACUGGGACUGAGACACGGCCCAGACUCCUACGGGAGGCAGCAGUGGGGAAUCUUGCGCAAUGGGCGAAAGCCUGACGCAGCAACGCCGCGUGGGGGAUGACGGCCUUCGGGUUGUAAACCUCUUUCGACAGGGACGAAGCUUUCGGGUGACGGUACCUGUAGAAGAAGCACCGGCUAACUACGUGCCAGCAGCCGCGGUAAUACGUAGGGUGCGAGCGUUGUCCGGAUUUAUUGGGCGUAAAGAGCUCGUAGGCGGUUUGUCGCGUCGGCCGUGAAAACCUGCAGCUUAACUGUGGGCGUGCGGUCGAUACGGGCAGACUUGAGUUCGGCAGGGGAGACUGGAAUUCCUGGU
Molecule: ribosomal RNA, 638 nt
Filed under: uncultured Saccharopolyspora sp.
Lineage: Bacteria; Bacillati; Actinomycetota; Actinomycetes; Pseudonocardiales; Pseudonocardiaceae
Description: bacterial SSU rRNA
Rfam family: Bacterial small subunit ribosomal RNA
Source: RNAcentral